UGUCUCCAUACCUCUAGCCUUUCACUAACACCGACCCUCGUCUCGUCUAUCAAUACUAUAUCAUCAGCAAAAAGCAUACACCAAGGCACAUACCCUGGAAUAUGACGAGUCAGAGCAUCUAUCACUAAGGCAAACAAGAGGGGGCUCAGCGCCGAUCCUUGGUGGAGCCCCAUGACCACCAAUAACCACAGGAAAAUGGUCUGAUUCGCCACCCACCGUCCUAAACCUAGUCUUAGCACCAUCGUACAUGUCCUUGAUUACUCUGAUAUAGGCUUCCGGCACGCUCUUCGCCUCCAAAGCACCUUCAAAGCACCUCCCUUGGGACCUUAUCAUACGCCUUCUCCAAGUCGAUAAGCACCAUAUGCAGGUCCUUCUUCUUAUCCUUGAAUUUCUCUGCCAGCCGCCUGACUAGGUGGAUAGCCUCUGUGGUGGAGCGGCCCGGCAUGAAACCGAACUGGUUCCCAGAUAUAGAUGUCACCUCCCUCACCCGCAUAAGCACCAUAUGCAGGUCCUUCUUCUUAUCCCUGAAUUUCUCCGCCAGCCGCCUGACUAGGUGGAUAGCCUCUAUGGUGGAGCGGCCCGGCAUGAAACCGAACUGGUUCCCAUAUAUAGAUGCCACCUCCCUCACCCGCGCCUCAAUCACCUUCUUCCAAACCUUCAUCGUGUGACUUAUUAAUUUGAUACCCCUAUAGUUGUUGCAGCACUGGAUGUCCCCUUUGUUCUUGUACAAGGGCACCACUGUACUCCACCUCCUCUCAUCCGGCAUCCUUUUGGUCCUGAAGAUCGCAUUGAACAACCUAGAGAGCCACUCCCCUCCUGACUUACCCAUGCACUUCCAGAACUCCCAUAACAUCAUCUCCAGUUGAUCAGAAUUUUAUUCUGUACUGUACGGUUUGCUUCUCUUUUGGAUUUCUAAGAUUCUUCAGCGACCUGAAGGCAGUGAUCUUAAUUUAUCAACUUCUUGGCUGCCAAAAUGUGCCUCACUAAUUGAAAAAGAAGUUAAAAUGAGAUUUUCAGAUUACUCCAAUCUGGGGCAAAUCUUCCAAGUCUCUUUGGGAUUUUAAAUAUACUAGUGGUGGUUAACGUUCAUGUAAUUUUGGUCUGUUUUCCACAUUCCACCUAUUGUAAUUUCAUUUUUUUUUUGGCACUUUAAUUUGUCUGCUGCCUUAAUAGGCAAUUUUCAGGGCACUCUUAUUUGUUUCAAACUCUAAUUAUACUACCUAAUAUCAGAGGAUUGCUUCAAAAGGAUAUAUUGUAACAUUGUCGUCUUAAUCUUGUA
This 1279-nucleotide long non-coding RNA is filed under the name Nicotiana benthamiana. Its description in RNAcentral is "long non-coding RNA (NBEN_LNC007158)". Lineage: Eukaryota; Viridiplantae; Streptophyta; Magnoliopsida; Solanales; Solanaceae. The record is from RNAcentral.